CCCAAACACUUAGCAGAGAUGCUUUGGUGCCUUCGGGAACUCUGAGACAGGUGCUGCAUGGCUGUCGUCAGCUCGUGUUGUGAAAUGUUGGGUUAAGUCCCGCAACGAGCGCAACCCUUAUCCUUUGUUGCCAGCGGUUAGGCCGGGAACUCAAAGGAGACUGCCAGUGAUAAACUGGAGGAAGGUGGGGAUGACGUCAAGUCAUCAUGGCCCUUACGAGUAGGGCUACACACGUGCUACAAUGGCGCAUACAAAGAGAAGCGACCUCGCGAGAGCAAGCGGACCUCAUAAAGUGCGUCGUAGUCCGGAUUGGAGUCUGCAACUCGACUCCAUGAAGUCGGAAUCGCUAGUAAUCGUGGAUCAGAAUGCCACGGUGAAUACGUUCCCGGGUCUUGAAACACACCGA
Molecule: ribosomal RNA, 406 nt
Filed under: Enterobacter hormaechei
Lineage: Bacteria; Pseudomonadati; Pseudomonadota; Gammaproteobacteria; Enterobacterales; Enterobacteriaceae
Description: bacterial SSU rRNA
Rfam family: Bacterial small subunit ribosomal RNA
Source: RNAcentral